AUUCAUCUCGAUAUGCAAGAUUAAAGACAUGUUUAAUCUAACCUGAUAAGAAUAAUGUUAUUAUUAAUUUUUUUGAACACUAUCAAAAACAUCCAACUUGAUUUUUGAUGGUGGAUAAAUUUUCUGACCGUGAGGUUAGAAAUUGUAAGUUCAGUGAUUUAGAGAUGACAGAUACUUCUACUAUUCUCACAGUAGUUAUGGAUUUAUCUCGACAUACAAGAUAUAGAAGACGGCUAAUAUUGUCAAAGAAAAGUAAUAGAGAUCUUAAUAUUAUUGGAACAG
RNAcentral lists this long non-coding RNA (282 nucleotides) under Elaeis guineensis (African oil palm). RNAcentral describes it as "long non-coding RNA (EGUI_LNC004269)". The record is from RNAcentral. Lineage: Eukaryota; Viridiplantae; Streptophyta; Magnoliopsida; Arecales; Arecaceae.